GUGUCAGCAGCCGCGGUAAUACAGAGGUCUCAAGCGUUGUUCGGAUUCAUUGGGCGUAAAGGGUGUGUAGGUGGCGCGCUAAGUCGGGUGUGAAAUUUCGGAGCUUAACUCCGAAACUGCAUUCGAUACUGGCGUGCUUGAGGACUGGAGAGGAGACUGGAAUUUACGGUGUAGCAGUGAAAUGCGUAGAUAUCGUAAGGAAGACCAGUGGCGAAGGCGGGUCUCUGGACAGUUCCUGACACUGAGACACGAAGGCCAGGGGAGCAAACGGGAUUAGAUACCCGCGUAGUCC
RNAcentral lists this ribosomal RNA (292 nucleotides) under uncultured bacterium. RNAcentral's name for it is "partial 16S ribosomal RNA". It matches the Rfam family "Bacterial small subunit ribosomal RNA", at positions 505 to 796 of the family's 1533-position model. The record is from RNAcentral.